This is a non-coding RNA of Caenorhabditis elegans, 192 nucleotides long. Lineage: Eukaryota; Metazoa; Nematoda; Chromadorea; Rhabditida; Rhabditidae. The record is from Ensembl.
AACAUACUUAAAAUUAUUUGCCAAAAUUAAUAAAACUUGAAUAAAAUUGUCAUAUCUCAUAGACCUAAGACACUAGUUAAAUAAAACAAUUUUGGCAAAAAGAGGUACCGGAGAAAGAUGAGAUAUUGGAUAUCUUGUUCAAGACUUUUCGUCUGCUUCUCGGCUCCCGGGCGGAUAAAAAACAUAUGGACG